RNAcentral lists this ribosomal RNA (253 nucleotides) under uncultured bacterium. Its description in RNAcentral is "partial 16S ribosomal RNA". It matches the Rfam family "Bacterial small subunit ribosomal RNA", at positions 524 to 776 of the family's 1533-position model. The record is from RNAcentral.
GACGAGCCACACGAACGUUAUUCGGAAUUACUGGGCUUAAAGGGUGCGUAGGCGGUGCGGAAAGUUGGGUGUGAAAUCCCUCGGCUCAACCGAGGAACUGCGCCCAAAACUACCGUACUUGAGGAAGAUAGAGGUGAGCGGAACUUACGGUGGAGCGGUGAAAUGCGUUGAUAUCGUAAGGAACACCCGUGGCGAAAGCGGCUCACUGGGUCUUUUCUGACGCUGAUGCACGAAAGCUAGGGGAGCAAACGGG